GUGAUCAGUAUUAGAGAGAAUAGAGCGUUAAGACUCUAUCGCCGAAGGUGCAAGUAAUUUAUUACGAAACUCUCAGGCAAAAGGAUAAUACUGUAACG
This 98-nucleotide non-coding RNA is filed under the name Staphylococcus aureus. RNAcentral's name for it is "Glycine sequence". It matches the Rfam family "Glycine riboswitch aptamer". From Rfam's summary of the family: This family represents the bacterial glycine riboswitch. Glycine riboswitches usually consist of two metabolite-binding aptamers domains with similar structures in tandem. RNAcentral also lists the same sequence under 4 other names. The record is from RNAcentral. Lineage: Bacteria; Bacillati; Bacillota; Bacilli; Caryophanales; Staphylococcaceae.